GUUAUAAGACGAGUCGGGAAAGUUUUUUCGCUAAGAGAUCAGUCUAUGUCCUAUCAGCUAGUUGGUGAGGUAAUGGCUCACCAAGGCUAUGACGGGUAUCUGGUUUGAGAGGAUGAUCAGACACACUGGAACUGAGACACGGUCCAGACUCCUACGGGAGGCAGCAGUGAGGAAUAUUGCACAAUGGAGGAAACUCUGAUGCAGCAACGCCGCGUGGAGGAUGACGCAUUUCGGUGUGUAAACUCCUUUUAAGAGGGAAGAUAAUGACGGUACCUCUUGAAUAAGCACCGGCUAACUCCGUGCCAGCAGCCGCGGUAAUACGGAGGGUGCAAGCGUUACUCGGAAUCACUGGGCGUAAAGGGUGCGUAGGCUGGCUUCUAAGUCAGAUGUGAAAUCCAACGGCUUAACCAUUGAACUGCAUUUGAAACUGGGAGCCUAGAGUUCAGAAGGGGCAGAUGGAAUUAGUGGUGUAGGGGUAAAAUCCGUAGAUAUCACUAGGAAUAUCAAAAGCGA
Molecule: ribosomal RNA, 513 nt
Filed under: uncultured Campylobacterota bacterium
Lineage: Bacteria; Pseudomonadati; Campylobacterota
Description: bacterial SSU rRNA
Rfam family: Bacterial small subunit ribosomal RNA
Source: RNAcentral